GAGCCUAAAUGUCGAUUUGAGGUUGUGGUCUUGACCGUGGCUUCUGGAGCUAACGCGUUAAAUCGACCGCCUGGGGAGUACGGCCGCAAGGUUAAAACUCAAAUGAAUUGACGGGGGCCCGCACAAGCGGUGGAGCAUGUGGUUUAAUUCGAUGCAACGCGAAGAACCUUACCUACUCUUGACAUCCAGCGAAUCCUUUAGAGAUAGAGGAGUGCCUUCGGGAACGCUGAGACAGGUGCUGCAUGGCUGUCGUCAGCUCGUGUUGUGAAAUGUUGGGUUAAGUCCCGCAACGAGCGCAACCCUUAUCCUUUGUUGCCAGCACGUAAUGGUGGGAACUCAAAGGAGACUGCCGGUGAUAAACCGGAGGAAGGUGGGGAUGACGUCAAGUCAUCAUGGCCCUUACGAGUAGGGCUACACACGUGCUACAAUGGCAGAUACAAAGAGAAGCGACCUCGCGAGAGCAAGCGGAACUCAUAAAGUCUGUCGUAGUCCGGAUUGGAGUCUGCAACUCGACUCCAUGAAGUCGGAAUCGCUAGUAAUCGUAGAUCAGAAUGCUACGGUGAAUACGUUCCCGGGCCUUGUACACACCGCCCGUCACACCAUGGGAGUGGGUUGCAAAAGAAGUAGGUAGCUUAACCUUCGGGAGGGCGCUUACCACUUUGUGAUUCAUGACUGGGGUGAAGUCGUACAGGGGAAACCCGUAAAAGGGGAGGGA
This 715-nucleotide ribosomal RNA is filed under the name Proteus mirabilis. RNAcentral's name for it is "bacterial SSU rRNA". It matches the Rfam family "Bacterial small subunit ribosomal RNA", at positions 797 to 1533 of the family's 1533-position model. The record is from RNAcentral. Lineage: Bacteria; Pseudomonadati; Pseudomonadota; Gammaproteobacteria; Enterobacterales; Morganellaceae.